CGCGCCGCCGUCCAGCGG
RNAcentral lists this microRNA (18 nucleotides) under Sorghum bicolor (sorghum). RNAcentral describes it as "sbi-miR5384". Lineage: Eukaryota; Viridiplantae; Streptophyta; Magnoliopsida; Poales; Poaceae. The record is from miRBase by way of RNAcentral.